RNAcentral lists this transfer RNA (63 nucleotides) under Ophiophagus hannah (king cobra). Its description in RNAcentral is "tRNA-Pro". Lineage: Eukaryota; Metazoa; Chordata; Lepidosauria; Squamata; Elapidae. The record is from RNAcentral.
CAGAGAAUAGUUUAAGUAUAGAAUGCUGGUUUUGGGGACCAGAGAUGGGAUAUCCUUCUUUGA